Molecule: ribosomal RNA, 547 nt
Filed under: uncultured archaeon
Lineage: Archaea
Description: bacterial SSU rRNA
Rfam family: Archaeal small subunit ribosomal RNA
Source: RNAcentral
ACGGGGAGCAGCAGGCGCGAAACCUUUACACUGCACGACAGUGCGAUAGGGGGAUCCCAAGUGCACGGGCAUAGCGCCUGUGCUUUUCGGUACCGUAAGGUGGUACCAGAAUAAGGGCUGGGCAAGACCGGUGCCAGCCGCCGCGGUAAUACCGGCAGCCCAAGUGAUGGCCGAUCUUAUUGGGCCUAAAGCGUCCGUAGCUGGCCGCGCAAGUCCAUCGGGAAAUCCACCUGCUCAACAGGUGGGCGCCCGGUAGAAACUGCGUGGCUUGGGACCGGAAGGCGCGACGGGUACGUCCGGGGUAGGAGUGAAAUCCCGUAAUCCUGGACGGACCGCCGAUGGCGAAAGCACGUCGCGAGGACGGAUCCGACAGUGAGGGACGAAAGCCAGGGUCUCGAACCGGAUUAGAUACCCGGGUAGUCCUGGCCGUAAACAAUGUCUGCUAGGUGUGGCUCCCACUACGAGUGGGUGCUGUGCCGUAGGGAAGCCGCUAAGCAGACCGCCUGGGAAGUACGUCCGCAAGGAUGAAACUCAAAUGAAUUGACGG